This 578-nucleotide small RNA is filed under the name Pongo abelii (Sumatran orangutan). Its description in RNAcentral is "processed transcript". Lineage: Eukaryota; Metazoa; Chordata; Mammalia; Primates; Hominidae. The record is from RNAcentral.
ACUUGCUCUGAGCCAGGUGCGGCGAGUCUGCAGGCUGGUCCGGGCUCCUCAGGUCCAGACCCGACCAUUAUCCAGUCGGUUCGUGGAGAGGAGAGGUGCACUUUACAGGUCUCCGAUGAACCAAGAGAACCCUCCACCAUAUCCGGGCCCUGGUCCAACGGCCCCAUACCCACCUUAUCCACCACAACCAAUGGGUCCAGGACCUAUGGGGGGACCCUACCCACCUCCUCAAGGGUACCCCUACCAAGGAUACCCACAGUACGGCUGGCAGGGUGGACCUCAGGAGCCUCCUAAAACCACAGUGUAUGUGGUAGAAGACCAAAGAAGAGAUGAGCUGGGACCAUCCACCUGCCUCACAGCCUGCUGGACUGCUCUCUGUUGCUGCUGUCUCUGGGACAUGCUCACCUGACCAGCCCAGCCCAGCCGUCCUGUCCUGCCAGCUCUGCUGCCACCUCUGACAGUGGAAUGUCUGCAGCAGGACGAUCCCUCUGUGGAGCCCAGGACAUACGGAAUGCUGAGUGGAAACCACACUGAAUGAAUAGCAUUGGGACUUAGAACAGCUACUUGCACAGAACAAG